This 377-nucleotide long non-coding RNA is filed under the name Gossypium raimondii (Peruvian cotton). RNAcentral's name for it is "long non-coding RNA (GRAI_LNC004134)". Lineage: Eukaryota; Viridiplantae; Streptophyta; Magnoliopsida; Malvales; Malvaceae. The record is from RNAcentral.
CAAACUCCCAAACCUUUUUACUUUUCCCUCAAAACUUUUACUCCUUCCUACUUUCCCCCCAAAACUUUUAUUCCCCUCCCCUCCCAACCCCCCAAUCUACCCAAAAUCCAUUUCCCACCAAAAUUUUACUCUCCCAUUUAUUUUUUCUCAAAAUUUUACUCCCAAAAACCCUCAAAACAUUUUAUUUUCCCCCAAAAUUUUUACUUCCUCCCACUUUUCCCCUAAAACUUUUAUUCCCUUCCCAUUUCACCUCCCAUCUAUCCCAAACCCUCCCCCCUCCAAUUUUUUUUUAAUAUUUUCCCUCCAAACUAUUUACUUUCCCUCAAACUUUUAUUCUCUAAAACUUUUUAUUUUUCCCCUAAACUUUUACUUCUCAC